This is a long non-coding RNA of Lemur catta (Ring-tailed lemur), 361 nucleotides long. RefSeq lists it as uncharacterized. The transcript is spliced from 3 exons. The record is from RefSeq and is a predicted model, not a curated record. Lineage: Eukaryota; Metazoa; Chordata; Mammalia; Primates; Lemuridae.
GGGGAAGGUAGAAGGUGGGACUGUGCCCGACACCUGUUCCUGCGACCGGGCCCCCGCACCCUGCAAGGCCAGCUCUGGAGCAGAAGGAGGCCCGGUGCUAGCCGCCCUCCCCAAGGACCCAGCCCGCGCCAUCCGGCUUCCUCCAGUGGGCGCCUGCAGGACCCAGAAUCGAAGCGGCCCUUUGCGCGGGGCUCCGAGAGAGGCAUCGAAAUUGAACUCGUCCACACAGCCCCUGACUGCGUGGUGCCCUUUUCUGACUUAAAACAUUCCUUGCACCUUUGUUUGCACGCUCGAAGUUUCAGUGUGCCUAGAUUUUCCUCCAAGGACAAAAAUGUGAAUAAAGCAAUAUUUUAGUCAAACA